GAGCAUAUCAAUAAGCGGAGGAAAAGAAACCAACAGGGAUUGCCCUAGUAACGGCGAGUGAAGCGGCAACAGCUCAAAUUUGAAAUCUGGCGCAAGCCCGAGUUGUAAUUUGCUGAGGAUGCUUCUGGGCAGCGGCCGGUCUAAGUUCCUUGGAACAGGACGUCAUAUAGGGUGAGAAUCCCGUAUGCGACCGGAUGGCACCCGUCACGUAGCUCCUUCGACGAGUCCAGUUGUUUGGGAAUGCAGCUCUAAAUGGGUGGGAAAUGUCAUCUAAAGCUAAAUACCGGCCAGAGACCGAUAGCGCACAAGUAGAGUGAUCGAAAGAUGAAAAGUACUUUGGAAAGAGAGUUAAAAAGCACGUGAAAUUGUUGAAAGGGAAGCGCAUGCAACCAGACUUGUCCGCGGUGUUCCGCCGGUCUUCUGACCGGUCUACUCGCCGCGGGCAGGCCAGCAUCGUCUGGGCGCGCCGGAAAAAGGCGCAGGGAAUGUAGCCCCUCGGGGUGUUAUAGCUCUGCGCACAAUACGGCGCCGCCCGGGCGAGGUCCGCGCUUCGGCUAGGAUGCUGGCGUAAUGGUUGUCUGCGGCCCGUCUUGAAACACGGACCAAGGAGUCUAACAUCUAUGCGAGUGUUCGGGUGUCAAACCCCUACGCGGAAUGAAAGUGAACGGAGGUGGGAGCCCUCGGGCGCACCAUCGACCGAUCCUGAUGUCUUCGGAUGGAUUUGAGUAAGAGCAUAGCUGUUGGGACCCGAAAGAUGGUGAACUAUGCCUGAAUAGGGUGAAGCCAGAGGAAACUCUGGUGGAGGCUCGCAGCGGUUCUGACGUGCAAAUCGAUCGUCAAAUUUGGGUAUAGGGGCGAAAGACUAAUCUAACCAUCUAGUAGCUGGUUCCUGUCGA
This 896-nucleotide ribosomal RNA is filed under the name Catenulostroma protearum. Its description in RNAcentral is "LSU rRNA". It matches the Rfam family "Eukaryotic large subunit ribosomal RNA", at positions 36 to 964 of the family's 3401-position model. Lineage: Eukaryota; Fungi; Ascomycota; Dothideomycetes; Mycosphaerellales; Teratosphaeriaceae. The record is from RNAcentral.